AGAGUUUGAUCCUGGCUCAGGACGAACGCUGGCGGCGUGCUUAACACAUGCAAGUCGAGCGGUAAGGCCCUUUCGGGGGUACACGAGCGGCGAACGGGUGAGUAACACGUGGGUGACCUGCCCUCCACUCUGGGAUAAGCCCGGGAAACUGGGUCUAAUACCGGAUAGGACCACUGAUCGCAUGGUUGGUGGUGGAAAGUUUUUUCGGUGGGGGAUGGGCCCGCGGCCUAUCAGCUUGUUGGUGGGGUGAUGGCCUACCAAGGCGGUGACGGGUAGCCGGCCUGAGAGGGCGACCGGCCACACUGGGACUGAGACACGGCCCAGACUCCUACGGGAGGCAGCAGUGGGGAAUAUUGCGCAAUGGGCGGAAGCCUGACGCAGCGACGCCGCGUGGGGGAUGACGGCCUUCGGGUUGUAAACCUCUUUCGCCAGGGACGAAGAGCAAUUGACGGUACCUGGAGAAGAAGCACCGGCCAACUACGUGCCAGCAGCCGCGGUAACACGUAGGGUGCGAGCGUCGUCCGGAAUUAUUGGGCGUAAAGAGCUCGUAGGCGGUGUGUCGCGUCGGCCGUGAAAACUUGGGGCUUAACUCUGAGCGUGCGGUCGAUACGGGCAUCACUUGAGUUCGGCAGGGGAGACUGGAAUUCCUGGUGUAGCGGUGAAAUGCGCAGAUAUCAGGAGGAACACCGGUGGCGAAGGCGGGUCUCUGGGCCGAUACUGACGCUGAGGAGCGAAAGCGUGGGGAGCGAACAGGAUUAGAUACCCUGGUAGUCC
RNAcentral lists this ribosomal RNA (774 nucleotides) under uncultured bacterium. RNAcentral's name for it is "bacterial SSU rRNA". It matches the Rfam family "Bacterial small subunit ribosomal RNA", at positions 8 to 796 of the family's 1533-position model. The record is from RNAcentral.